RNAcentral lists this ribosomal RNA (410 nucleotides) under bacterium enrichment culture clone ALO1_GLFRUDD03F5EJC. Its description in RNAcentral is "bacterial SSU rRNA". It matches the Rfam family "Bacterial small subunit ribosomal RNA", at positions 9 to 420 of the family's 1533-position model. The record is from RNAcentral.
GAGUUUGAUCCUGGCUCAGAUUGAACGCUGGCGGCAUGCCUUACACAUGCAAGUCGAACGGCAGCACGGGAGCUUGCUCCUGGUGGCGAGUGGCGAACGGGUGAGUAAUGCAUCGGAACGUAUCCUGGAGUGGGGGAUAACGUAGCGAAAGUUACGCUAAUACCGCAUAUUCUGUGAGCAGGAAAGCGGGGGACCUUCGGGCCUCGCGCUCUUGGAGCGGCCGAUGUCGGAUUAGCUAGUUGGUGAGGUAAAGGCGUCACCAAGGCGACGAUCCGUAGCAGGUCUGAGAGGAUGAUCUGCCACACUGGAACUGAGACACGGUCCAGACUCCUACGGAGGCAGCAGUGGGAAUUUUGGACAAUGGGGGCAACCCUGAUCCAGCCAUGCCGCGUGAGUGAAGAAGGCCUCGG